Cyprinus carpio (common carp) is the source of this 658-nucleotide long non-coding RNA. The record is from Ensembl. NCBI's taxonomy places the organism in Eukaryota, Metazoa, Chordata, Actinopteri, Cypriniformes, Cyprinidae.
UUCAUCGCAAGAUCAUAAUAAGGUCUUCCUUGGAUAUGUAAUGCUAUGUAUCUGGUGGGUAUAGGGAUUCAGAAAAGAACUGUAUAGAAGGAACAGUUCAUCAAAAAAUGAAAAUCUGCUGAAAAUUUACUCACUCUCUGGCCAUCCAACAGUUUGUUCAUCAGAACAGAUUUGGAGAAAUUUAGCAUUACAUCACUCAGUGAAUGGGUGCAGCUUUUCAUUUCACAAGACAUCAGUUAAUUGACUCUAGUCGUGUGGAUUACUUGUGGAUUAUUGUGAUGUUUUUAUUAGCUGUCUGAACUCUUAUUCAAACGGCACCCAUUCAGUGCAGAGGAUUCAUUGGUGAGCAAAUUAUGUAAUGCCAAAUUUCUCCAAACUCAACUACAUCUUGGAUGGCCUGAGGUGUCUGUCAACCAGAGCAGCAGUGCCCAGUUUAUCCCCUGCCAGCAGAGAUCUGAAACCUUAACUUCCAGGCCUGGGUCUCCCAUAAUGCAGUAUGCUGUUCACUCCAGCAAUGGCACUUACAUUGUGUCUGAAAAAAAGGGCCAAGGUAAUGACGCCACAAUUUGAUUCAUUUGGAUUAUAUUCUCAUUUGAUAGUGUAUAAUACCAUAUAAAAGUUAAAUAAACAUUAAACAAACACAUAGAUGUAAAAAUAA